GUCCUAGCCGUAAACGGUGCACGUUUGCUGUAAAAGGAAUCGACCCCUUUUGUGGCGAAGCUAACGCGUUAAACGUGCCGCCUGGGAAGUACGGUCGCAAGAUUAAAACUCAAAGAAAUUGACGGGGGCCUGCACAAGCGGUGGAGUAUGUGGCUCAAUUCGAUGCAACGCGAAGAACCUUACCUGGCCUUGACAUGUACGUAGUAGAAGGGUGAAAGCCUGACGAGGUAGCAAUACCAGCGUACACAGGUGCUGCAUGGCUGUCGU
RNAcentral lists this ribosomal RNA (267 nucleotides) under uncultured bacterium. RNAcentral describes it as "partial 16S ribosomal RNA". It matches the Rfam family "Bacterial small subunit ribosomal RNA", at positions 793 to 1055 of the family's 1533-position model. The record is from RNAcentral.